Molecule: unclassified non-coding RNA, 282 nt
Filed under: uncultured fungus
Lineage: Eukaryota; Fungi
Description: sequence contains ITS1
Source: RNAcentral
AAAAAACAUAGAAUCGUUCUUGGUCUUUACCGAGAACGAGGAGACGGGACCCCCUCUAGGGACCUCGCGUUAACGUAUGCACGGUGUACGUUCUCUCUUGUUGCAAAAUUGCAAGAGAUAGAGGUUGUCGGCCUGACAUUACAGGUCGUUAACCUUGAGAGGGGGGACCAGAUACCAUUCAUUUUCCAACCCUGUGCACAUACUAUUCUUUUUCACACCUUUUAUAACUCGUAAUAGUUGUAGAAUGUAAUCAGUCUCUUAAUUGAGCAUAAAAUAUAGUCA